Molecule: ribosomal RNA, 506 nt
Filed under: uncultured bacterium
Lineage: Bacteria
Description: bacterial SSU rRNA
Rfam family: Bacterial small subunit ribosomal RNA
Source: RNAcentral
GACGAACGCUGGCGGCGUGCUUAACACAUGCAAGUCGAACGGUGACGAGGAGCUUGCUCCUCUGAUCAGUGGCGAACGGGUGAGUAACACGUGAGCAACCUGCCCCAGACUCUGGGAUAACAGUUGGAAACAGCUGCUAAUACCGGAUACGAGACGGAGAGGCAUCUCUACCGUCUGGAAAGUUUUUCGGUCUGGGAUGGACUCGCGGCCUAUCAGCUAGUUGGUGAGGUAAUGGCUCACCAAGGCGACGACGGGUAGCCGGCCUGAGAGGGCGACCGGCCACACUGGGACUGAGACACGGCCCAGACUCCUACGGGAGGCAGCAGUGGGGAAUAUUGCACAAUGGGCGAAAGCCUGAUGCAGCGACGCCGCGUGAGGGAUGACGGCCUCGGUGGUAACGUACUUCUACGUCAGGAGGAAGACGAAGUAGACGGUACCGUACGUCGAGAAGAAGACGACCGGCCGUAACCUAACGUACGUCCGACGACGAGCCGCGGUACGUAACG